This is a long non-coding RNA of Xenopus laevis (African clawed frog), 3198 nucleotides long. RefSeq lists it as uncharacterized. NCBI's taxonomy places the organism in Eukaryota, Metazoa, Chordata, Amphibia, Anura, Pipidae. The transcript is spliced from 2 exons. The record is from RefSeq and is a predicted model, not a curated record.
GAUUCAGGGGGUUUGGCUGAAUCCAAAAUAGUGGAUUUGGUGCAUCCUUAAUAACAACCAGAUUGCUGAAACUGCAGAGCUGCUGAAUAAAAAGCUAAACUUAAACCACAAAUAUUAAAAAAUGAACCAAUUGCCUCGGAAUAUCACUCUUAAAGUUAACGACCCCUUUAAUGUGUCUGUAUAAACAAAGGUGUUACGAUUAAAGGUCUAGGCAUUUAUAGGAACCAAUUGGCAGAUACACUAGAACACUAUAGCAUUUAUUGGGUAAUGUGUUUUAAAUUAAAGCUGUUGUUGCUCCUGGGCAGACUAGCCUUCCUAUGUGAUAAAAAGCCAAAGUUUUUGCUGGAGUAGUAACCGAUGAUAAAUGUGCUUUUAAACAGGUAACCUUUUAAUCCUACCUGCUGAUUGUUAGCUAUAGGUGAUUAAGAACUGGUGCAAACUUUGCUCCUGAUAUUGCACAACCUCAAAUAGGUCUCAUCACAUACAUGUCUGAUAUUGGCAUAACCCCAACUGUAUAUAAUUCCUGAUCUGCCUUGUGUUACGGUUUAUUGAACACUGAUGUAUGUUGGUUGUUUGUGUGAGAAUGUUGUCACUGAUCCAGCCCCUUCACUGUCCAUUCGAAGCUUUCUCGUGGUGCAUCGCAAUGGCUAACACAGGGGGGUAGAAUAUGUCCUCACUAAAACACAGGGGUAGAGGCUAAUCUCUUCCCCUGUAUCCUGUCGUGAGGUACAUGCUGUCCAGCUGAGAUCUACCUGAGUAAAUGUGACUGAGCUAUGUACAUCUUGCUGAAAGUAACAAUUCUGCUCUGACUGUUCUUCCUUAAUUUUUAGCCUCAUUAUGAUCUGCUUUGACUCAAGUUUUAGCCUCAUUAUGAUAAGUCUUUUAACUCUAGAAGUACAUGUCAAGGGCCAAUCAUUGGCACUGAGUUUUUGAACAAGUUUUGCUUAGAAUGUCCUCUCUAAAAAAGCGAAAUUCUAAUGUUGUCAAUUUCCUCCACAGGCUCCUUGAAGAUGAAAUCCUGGGGCCUUACUUCCAUCCAGCAUAGGUUGUGUGCAGAGCCUCCAUUUGUUUUCUGAAAUUAAAGUAGUGGAUGCAGAAAAGAGCAGAAGUCAGCAGUGCUUGGGUAAAAGUCAUCUUGUGAUGUAUCCAACCAUAUUUGUCCUGGAAUGGGUUGUCAGUAGGGUUGCCACCUCACCCCUUUACAACCAAACACAUAUGGAAUCCACAGCCUCAAUGGCUAAUUAACAAUUCAUUGAUGCAUGGCUGCACAUAAGCGAGGAACUCCACGGUGCGGCUCAAGCCGACCCUUUGCCAUCUGACGAACCGCAUGCAAUGUGUCUGAUGUUUUGAAGUUACAGGAAUUGAAUGAGAAAUCGCAGGCUAAGAACUACAUUUAUCAGACUGUCGGAUGAAAACACAGCAUGCAGCGUCGCAUUGCGUUUCGUCGCAUGGCUACGUGUCUGCUUGAGCCGCACCAUGGCGUAACUCCCUAAAUCAGUUCAGUCUGCAGCAUGCAUAUAAAUAAAUUGCUAAUUAUCCUUGCAGGCUUUGGAUUCUAGAUGUUAGGUUUUAAAGGGGUGAGGUGGCAACCAUGUUAGUCUGCACCCUUGUUAAUUAAACCUACUUUUAUGGUAUAUUUUUUUAAUGAAAUUCAAGGAAAUUGUUUAUGGGCCCCUAUUAUGGCAGAGACUUAGGCUAUGGACACACAUGAUGGUGUCAGUUGGGGUAUUUUUUGCAGGCUGAGAAGCAGAUCUGCUCAUUGCCCCUGCUCCAUUGAUUUGAAUCAGAUCAGCCUGUGUGCGGUCACACACUGACCUCUGCAUCAGCUCCACUAUGUGUGACCGCACACAGGCCAAUCUCCUUCAAAUCAAUGGAACAGGGACACUGAGCAGAUCUGCUUCUCUCGGCCUGCAAAAAUACUCAGACUGAUAACACCAUGUCUAUAGUCUUGGGGAAAUGAAUAAACAUUGCAAUAUGCCAUUAGCCAAAAACUACUUUAAAUUAAUUUUCCUCUAUCCAUAGGUCCCUUUAUUUAAAAUGUGCUUAUGUAAUAUCUGACUUGUAUUCUAAACAUUUCCAACUAAAAUAAAGAUCUGAAUUACUUUGAGAUUGUAACCAAAAUAGAUGUGAAACAGUGUCGGGUAAGUCUCUCAAAGAACCAGUUUCCUCAUUGAGUUGAAAUGCAGCUACUUGUGAUAGUUUUGUUCCUAUAUGUACAGUGCUUAUCACUGGUUGCCAUAGGUUUGCCCAGAUUCAAAACCCCCUGUUUAUAAGUGACAUACACUUUACUGUCAUCUAAUGUCAAAUUCAACAUAACAUUUUUUCCCUCUGGCUGCAACCAGUAGUGGAAAUUGCUGCAGCUAGGAGUAAUGCUCCCCAUAGACGAGACGAUUCUUCUUGCCGAACGAUCCAUUUUAGGGAACCCCCGACCAAUCCUUCGAAAUUAAUGUGCAGUUAGUAGGAUUCGAACGAUCGUACAUCUUACGAUUUUUUUGGCCGACAUCUGUCAGGAAAUUGGAUCAGCCAGGUCAAAAAAAUCUGUCAGUCCCAGUGCAAUCUAUCUAUGUUUGCAGGGCCAAGCAGGCAGCUCCCCUUUGUUUUCCUGGCAAAUUGGUCUUUUUAGUUGAUGGUUAAUUCGUACAAUCGUUCUGAGAAGAUCGUGGUCUCACGAUCAGGAUCUGAUCUUUUAAAAAUCUCAACAUCUAUGGCCAGCUUAAGACUAAUGUCAGACUUGCAAUUUCACAGCUGGCAGAGAACACUGAACACUAAAUACAGAUUCAGUUCUAAAUUAAUUACUAAUUAAAUGCUAAAAUGUGAAUUUUCUGGCAGAAAUCUGCCAAGUGAGACAUUAGCCUUUGAAGUAUAAAUCUAGACUUGUGCAAAAGUACAGCAUUUAUAGCACCAAAGACGUAACGGCCAAUAGUAGUCUAAUUAUAGUCGGUCAGAUUAUCUGGCUUAAUUAGGAUGAUUUUCUCUAUUAAAAGUGAGUACUGCAGCCAUUAUACUGCCUUUAUAUGUUAGGGAAGUCAAUUGUAAGCUCCAUUGGAGCAUGGACUGAUAUGAUUUUUUACCAAUGUCUGUGAAGUGCUCUUACCAUUUACUAUACAAGUGAAGAUAAAAUCAGUCACUACACAAUGUAUUUCUACAGUUGUAAAUGUAUGAAAUGUAUAAACCAUGUCAAUAAAGCAUUGUAACAAA